GUGAAAAAGGGUUCUGUUUUGUACCUUCAAAGCUUUCACACAAACAGGAGUGAGCUAUGGAUUUAGAAGCCUCAAAGAAGUUUUCAAAAAUAACCAGUAAAGUCAGUGCAAUGGAGAAAAAAAUCCCUCUUGCAGUGAAAGCUACUGUUGUUGUGUUAAAAUCAAGGGGGAUGUGAAUACCUCCGGUUGGCAUCUCAGCUGGCCAAUGUGCUCCCAUCUUUUUCUUCGGUUAUAUUUCCUCCAGACUGCUCCUGGACAUCAACUCUAGACAGUUUCUUGGAUAACAGAACAGACUGGUGGUAACCUUCAGGAGUUGUAACAGCAGCAUGUGCUUGGAUCAAAAAAGAGACUUGAGCUCUGUUCUUAAAUAACAGGCAAGUUCAGCUCUUGUUUACACGCAUGAGACUUUUACUGACAAUGAUGAGCUUAGAGCUGUAUAUACUACUCACGCAGAAUACAUAAUCAAGAGUGGAAACUAAUAAUUCUGAGACACCAGCUUUUAAAAAGACAGGAUUUAGAUGUGUUUGUGAUUACGGUGAUAUUUUAAACAAUUCUCAUAAUAAAGUGCUCUGCAUGUGUGAGUACUGCUUACUGACUGAAAGGUAGAUCACAAACGUGUAUGUGGGAUCUCACACCUGGCAGAAAACCAUUUUGUUGUCUCCUAUCUGCAGCCCUGUUUGGGCAUGCUUCAUUAGCUCCACCUGUGCAGGAGAAGUAGAGGAAAGAGUCCUGAGACAAAUCUGGAUCUUGGGGUAAAGUCUGUAUUGAUCUGUAGGUUGUAAAACUCUUUCUCCUGUAGUCUGUGAAAAUUCAGAACAGAAGCAACAAUCAAAGGAAGAAAAGCUUAUUUUUACAAAAUAGGAUUUUAAAAUCUUUCAUUGUAAUCCUAGACGGGCUUUGUUCUGACUGACUGCUAGGAUCAGAUUUACGCCAACUUUGGGGGAGUCCCAGUGGGGCAAAAUUGUUGCUUAACCUGGUAGAUAGCUUCCAGUAAUGGAUAGUUUAUAUAAAAUGGGAAUGUUUGGAUCAUUAAAUCUUAACUUGGAUUUUUUUUGCUAAGGAGCCACGUCCAGGCUCCAUUAACAUUUCAUCUUAUAAGCUUCUGUAAUUAGUUUCCUGUGAAAUUCUUACUUUGCCAUAGUCCUUUCUUUGUCCUUUCAAAACAAAAUUGUUAAAGAAUUUAAACAAUGGACUAUAGAUAAUUUGUUUGAAAUCAAGGAACAGCUUUACACCUUCAUGUCCAAGAGAGGCAAAAGACCUGAAAUACUGCAGGACAUAGAUGUGCCACCUGUUCCUCGGUGUCCUCUAUACUCAAGGAAUUGUGUACAAGAAUCUUGGUGUGACUGUCUAAAGGCAAAUAAACAAGAUUUAACAUGCAUUGUGACUUUAGAAAUUGGAAUAAUGAUAAAAACUUUCAGAAAACUAACAUGAACUUUAUUUAGUAGUAAUGUUAUUUUUUAGCUUCUGGGAACAGCGUUUCUUUUUGUCAUGUAAUCUGGAAUAUUUCAACCAUGUAAUCCUAUGUGGCAGAUAAAUACAUUUCAUAUAUAUAUAUAUUUUCACCUUAAAAAUAUUUAAUAAAACAUUCUUUUAUUUGCU
Long non-coding RNA from Gallus gallus (chicken), 1599 nucleotides. The record is from Ensembl. Lineage: Eukaryota; Metazoa; Chordata; Aves; Galliformes; Phasianidae.